RNAcentral lists this ribosomal RNA (237 nucleotides) under uncultured bacterium. RNAcentral describes it as "partial 16S ribosomal RNA". It matches the Rfam family "Bacterial small subunit ribosomal RNA", at positions 540 to 776 of the family's 1533-position model. The record is from RNAcentral.
GUUGUUCGGAAUUACUGGGCGUAAAGGGCGCGUAGGCGGUCUGCUAAGUUGGAUGUGAAAACUCUGGGCUUAACCCAGAGCCUGCAUUCAAUACUGACAGGCUAGAGUUCUGGAGGGGAUAGCGGAAUUCCUGGUGUAGCGGUGAAAUGCGUAGAUAUCAGGAGGAACACCGGUGGCGAAGGCGGCUAUCUGGACAGAGUCUGACGCUGAGGCGCGAAAGCUAGGGGAGCAAACAGG